GUACUUGCUUCAGCAGCACAUAUGCUAAAAUUGGAAUGAUACAGAGAAAAUUAGCAUGGCCCCUGGGCUAUGAUGACAUGCAAAUUUAUGAAGUGUUCCAUAUUUUU
RNAcentral lists this small nuclear RNA (107 nucleotides) under Chinchilla lanigera (long-tailed chinchilla). The record is from RNAcentral. Lineage: Eukaryota; Metazoa; Chordata; Mammalia; Rodentia; Chinchillidae.